AGUGAACGCUGGCGGCGUGCUUAACACAUGCAAGUCGAACGAGAACGGAUUAUAGCUUGCUAUAAUUGUCAGCUAAGUGGCGCACGGGUGAGUAAUGUAUAGGCAAUAUGCCUCUUACUAAGGGAUAACAAAUGGAAACGUUUGCUAAUACCUUAUACUCCUUAUUAACAUAAGUGAAUAAGGGAAAGAUUUAUUGGUAAGAGAUUAGCCUGUAUUGUAUCAGUUAGUUGGUGGGGUAAUGGCUUACCAAGAUUAGGAAACAUAACUGGAUUGAGAGGAUGAUCAGUCACACUGUAGCUGAGACACGGGCCAGACUCCUACGGGAGGCAGCAGGUGGGAAUAUUGCACAAUGGACGAAAGUCUGAUGCUGCACCGCCGGGUGUAGGAUGACACAUUUCGGUGCGUAAACUCCUUUUAUAUGAGAAGAUGAUGACGGUAUUAUAUGAAUAAGCACCGGCUAACUCCGUGCCAGCAGCCGCAGUAA
RNAcentral lists this ribosomal RNA (484 nucleotides) under uncultured bacterium. RNAcentral's name for it is "partial 16S ribosomal RNA". It matches the Rfam family "Bacterial small subunit ribosomal RNA", at positions 29 to 523 of the family's 1533-position model. The record is from RNAcentral.